UAGGUGAUAGUGAAGGUAUUGAUUGGUUGUCAGGUAUUCAGAUGCUCUGCAAUGAAAAGUCUAGAAUGCAUUGGAACCAGAACUAGAGAGGCUUCACACAAACCCCCAGCUGGUGUUGGAAAAGC
Molecule: non-coding RNA, 125 nt
Organism: Sturnus vulgaris (Common starling)
Lineage: Eukaryota; Metazoa; Chordata; Aves; Passeriformes; Sturnidae
Source: RefSeq, a predicted model, not a curated record